RNAcentral lists this ribosomal RNA (432 nucleotides) under uncultured bacterium. RNAcentral describes it as "partial 16S ribosomal RNA". It matches the Rfam family "Bacterial small subunit ribosomal RNA", at positions 29 to 507 of the family's 1533-position model. The record is from RNAcentral.
ACGAACGCUGGCGGCAUGCCUAACACAUGCAAGUCGAACGCGACCUUCGGGUCUAGUGGCGCACGGGUGCGUAACGCGUGGGAACCUGCCCUUAGGUUCGGAAUAACUCCCCGAAAGGGGUGCUAAUACCAGAUAAUGUCUUCGGACCAAAGAUUUAUCGCCUUUGGAUGGGCCCGCGUUGGAUUAGCUAGUUGGUAGGGUAAAAGCCUACCAAGGCGACGAUCCAUAGCUGGUCUGAGAGGAUGAUCAGCCACACUGGGACUGAGACACGGCCCAGACUCCUACGGGAGGCAGCAGUGGGGAAUAUUGGACAAUGGGCGAAAACCUGAUCCAGCAAUGCCGCGUGAGUGAUGAAGGCCUUAGGGUUGUAAAGCUCUUUUACCCGGGAUGAUAAUGACAGUACCGGGAGAAUAAGCUCCGGCUAACUCCGUG